Molecule: non-coding RNA, 32 nt
Filed under: Rattus norvegicus (Norway rat)
Lineage: Eukaryota; Metazoa; Chordata; Mammalia; Rodentia; Muridae
Source: RNAcentral
GUAUCCUGAAAAGAAGGGUAGGCGCCUCUGCU